Long non-coding RNA from Choloepus didactylus (southern two-toed sloth), 653 nucleotides. RefSeq lists it as uncharacterized. The transcript is spliced from 3 exons. The record is from RefSeq and is a predicted model, not a curated record. Lineage: Eukaryota; Metazoa; Chordata; Mammalia; Pilosa; Megalonychidae.
GGAACAGGCCCAGCAAGCACAGCAGCCGGCCCUGAAUCGCCAUCGCGCUCGCCGCCUCCCGCCGCCGUUCAAAGUUGGCAGAAAAGUAAGACAGCAAAGAAUUCACACACAGAAACUUGAUUUCUAUCCAGUGGAUUGAGACACAAUCUUGCUAGCUGAUUCUUAAAAGGCAUGGUGCAGUGAAAACAAUUCAGUCAAAUAAAGAAUACAGAAAGAAACGUAUCACAGAGCCUGGAGGAAAUGAACAUGGCAGGAUUAAGUGUACAAGGAAUAUAGUACAUACAGCCUACAAUCAAGAGCUCAGAAAAUGGACUGAUAAACAGAUGGAUGGAGAACCAGACCGAAAGACAGAUAGAUGGACGGAUAGACAGAUGGAUUGAAAGGUUGAUGGAGAGAAAGAUGGAAUGACACAGAAAAUGUGGUAAAAUGUUAAAAUUAAUAAAUUUGGGUAUCUUGGGGGAGUGGGGAAUAGGGUAUGGUGUAGUUCUAUGUAUAGGGUAUGUAUUGUUUUUGUAAUUGUCCUGUAAGUUUGAAAGUAUUUCAAAAUAAAACAUUUAAAAUUAAAAAAAAUAAAAAUAAUCACUGAUUUUAGGAGAAGAGAACAUGCUGAAACUCUAGACCUGGUAGCUAUACAGACCUCAGCUCCUGGAAUC